UUUUAUGGAGAGUUUGAUCCUGGCUCAGAGUGAACGCUGGCGGCGUGCCUAAUACAUGCAAGUCGAACGAUGAAGCUUCUAGCUUGCUAGAAUGCUGAUUAGUGGCGCACGGGUGAGUAACGCAUAGGUCAUGUGCCUCUUAGUUUGGGAUAGCCAUUGGAAACGAUGAUUAAUACCAGAUACUCCCUACGGGGGAAAGAUUUAUCGCUAAGAGAUCAGCCUAUGUCCUAUCAGCUUGUUGGUAAGGUAAUGGCUUACCAAGGCUAUGACGGGUAUCCGGCCUGAGAGGGUGAACGGACACACUGGAACUGAGACACGGUCCAGACUCCUACGGGAGGCAGCAGUAGGGAAUAUUGCUCAAUGGGGGAAACCCUGAAGCAGCAACGCCGCGUGGAGGAUGAAGGUUUUAGGAUUGUAAACUCCUUUUGUUAGAGAAGAUAAUGACGGUAUCUAACGAAUAAGCACCGGCUAACUCCGUGCCAGCAGCCGCGGUAAUACGGAGGGUGCAAGCGUUACUCGGAAUCACUGGGCGUAAAGAGCGCGUAGGCGGGAUAGUCAGUCAGGUGUGAAAUCCUAUGGCUUAACCAUAGAACUGCAUUUGAAACUACUAUUCUAGAGUGUGGGAGAGGUAGGUGGAAUUCUUGGUGUAGGGGUAAAAUCCGUAGAGAUCAAGAGGAAUACUCAUUGCGAAGGCGACCUGCUGGAACAUUACUGACGCUGAUUGCGCGAAAGCGUGGGGAGCAAACAGGAUUAGAUACCCUGGUAGUCCACGCCCUAAACGAUGGAUGCUAGUUGUUGGAGGGCUUAGUUUCUCCAGUAAUGCAGCUAACGCAUUAAGCAUCCCGCCUGGGGAGUACGGUCGCAAGAUUAAAACUCAAAGGAAUAGACGGGGACCCGCACAAGCGGUGGAGCAUGUGGUUUAAUUCGAAGAUACACGAAGAACCUUACCUAGGCUUGACAUUGAGAGAAUCCGCUAGAAAUAGUGGAGUGUCUAGCUUGCUAGACCUUGAAAACAGGUGCUGCACGGCUGUCGUCAGCUCGUGUCGUGAGAUGUUGGGUUAAGUCCCGCAACGAGCGCAACCCCCUUUCUUAGUUGCUAACAGGUUAUGCUGAGAACUCUAAGGAUACUGCCUCCGUAAGGAGGAGGAAGGUGGGGACGACGUCAAGUCAUCAUGGCCCUUACGCCUAGGGCUACACACGUGCUACAAUGGGGUGCACAAAGAGAAGCAAUACUGCGAAGUGGAGCCAAUCUUCAAAACACCUCUCAGUUCGGAUUGUAGGCUGCAACUCGCCUGCAUGAAGCUGGAAUCGCUAGUAAUCGCAAAUCAGCCAUGUUGCGGUGAAUACGUUCCCGGGUCUUGUACUCACCGCCCGUCACACCAUGGGAGUUGUGUUUGCCUUAAGUCAGGAUGCUAAAUUGGCUACUGCCCACGGCACACACAGCGACUGGGGUGAAGUCGUAACAAGGUAACCGUAGGUGAACCUGCGGUUGGAUCACCUCCUUUCUAGA
This 1510-nucleotide ribosomal RNA is filed under the name Helicobacter pylori. RNAcentral describes it as "bacterial SSU rRNA". It matches the Rfam family "Bacterial small subunit ribosomal RNA". Lineage: Bacteria; Pseudomonadati; Campylobacterota; Epsilonproteobacteria; Campylobacterales; Helicobacteraceae. The record is from RNAcentral.